GAAAUCUUGUUAAGCUGAUCACAUCUUGCUCUAGCGUGGACUUUAAAAAUGAAGAAUUUCUAGCUCUAGUUUAUGAGUUCCUUGGUAAUGGGAGUUUGAAAGACUGGAUUAAGGGCAAGAGAAAGAAAGAAAAUGGAGGUGGACUAAAUCUCGUGGAGAGAUUAAAUGUGGUUAUUGAUAUAGCCAGUGCAAUAGAUUACCUCCA
RNAcentral lists this unclassified non-coding RNA (205 nucleotides) under Hevea brasiliensis (rubber tree). The record is from RNAcentral. Lineage: Eukaryota; Viridiplantae; Streptophyta; Magnoliopsida; Malpighiales; Euphorbiaceae.